This 88-nucleotide unclassified non-coding RNA is filed under the name Paenimyroides ummariense. RNAcentral's name for it is "Flavobacterium ummariense Flavo-1 RNA". Lineage: Bacteria; Pseudomonadati; Bacteroidota; Flavobacteriia; Flavobacteriales; Flavobacteriaceae. The record is from RNAcentral.
AUGUGUUAGGGAUUGAAGCGGAUAGCCCGCAGGUGCUGGAGCUAUAGCGGAAUGCACCGAGGACUUGCAGCGAAAAGCCCGACCCGAC